Molecule: ribosomal RNA, 253 nt
Filed under: uncultured bacterium
Lineage: Bacteria
Description: partial 16S ribosomal RNA
Rfam family: Bacterial small subunit ribosomal RNA
Source: RNAcentral
UACGGAGGAUCCAAGCGUUAUCCGGAUUUAUUGGGCUUAAAGGGUGCGUAGGCGGUUUAUUAAGUCAGGGGUGAAAGACGGCAGCUUAACUGUCGCAGUGCCUUUGAUACUGAUGAACUUGAAUGUACUAGAAGUAGGCGGAAUGUGACAAGUAGCGGUGAAAUGCAUAGAUAUGUCACAGAACACCGAUUGCGAAGGCAGCUUACUAUGGUAUUAUUGACGCUGAGGCACGAAAGCGUGGGGAUCAAACAGG